This 224-nucleotide long non-coding RNA is filed under the name Lathyrus oleraceus (garden pea). RNAcentral describes it as "Pisum sativum (pea) long non-coding RNA (PSAT_LNC022709)". Lineage: Eukaryota; Viridiplantae; Streptophyta; Magnoliopsida; Fabales; Fabaceae. The record is from RNAcentral.
AAAACCGUGAGAACAUUGAUCCCUUUAGAACACCUGUUAUGCAAUGUUAUGCUAUGCAAUGUAUGUAAUGUUUUCAAGGACUUUUGGAAUUCAACUUUACGUAAACUACCAAAAAGGAAACUUUUUUUUUUUUUUUUUUUUUUUUUUUACGAAAUAGAGAAAAGUUAAAUCCCUAAGUCUCGAAAUGGUUAGUACAAUGCCAUGAUGUUAUGAUGUUAUGAUGU